CACCCAUUCUUUGCCGCCUUCUCCAUCCAGUAGGGGACCAUCAGCGCAGAAAUCAACGGACUGGAGAUUUCAGCGCCGUUGAUUCUCCUUGCCCGUGUGGAUAGGACUAAAUAAUGGACAGCCACCAACUGUGCUGCUACGGACCGGACGGGACCUAAGAGAAGGCCAGCUAAGGUUCCCGAGGCACUGAGUGCCCCUCAAAAUGUCAAACAAAAAAGGAAGCUAAGCCAUUUAAAGAAAUAGGCGAUGGGGUUUAAUUCGAUUUGUAAUUUCUCGGAGGCUUUCAUGGUGGUCGUUGCUGGAAAAGAAUGGCCUGAGGGCAUUUCAUCAUGGAAAAUAUAACUUUAGUCUAACUCGAGGUCGGAGGUUGCAUUAUGUCCCGUCGGAAAAAUAGCAGGAAAACGAAAAUUGAAAAUAAAAUCUUCUAGAGGUAUUUAGCUGAUCUUCAUUCACAUCCUGGUUAUAACCUAGCCAGCAGUUUCAGAUGUGAUUAUUAAAAAGCAAGCCGGGAAUAUCUCCGAAUUCCAGCGCGUGAGUGUGUUUGUAACUCUCUGGCACUGGUGGGAAAACUGAGUAUUGAAGGCCAACAAGCCCACCCACACAACUGCUAGAACACUUUGUUCAUUUGUUGUUGAUCUAAUUAGCAGGAGUACUCUCUUAAGUCAACAUGGGUAUUGUAAGUUAGAGUUAUAGCAAAAGAAACCUCCUUAGAACUUAUCUCAAAAGAGCCCCUGAUAGAAAUGAGUUCCUUCAUUGGAAAAUCCUCAUAUUAUUAGGGGGAAAAGGGUUCCGGGGGCCGGCACCUUGUGUGGGUUCUUGACUGGAUGAAACUGAAUAGAGCUAUAUGGAGUAAGAUAGAAUUAGCUGACCAGGCCACAUUGAAAUUUGCUCCCCUUUCUGUUUCAAUUAAGUCAGGUUUCUGCUGAAGCAACAAUCAAGGGAAUUUGUUUUCGAAGCUAAGAGAGCUCAAAGCUCAAACAGCAACAAAGUUAGAUAAAACCCUGUAGAAAAAACAUCACAACACAGUUUGACAUGGGUGAUGGAGAACCCCAUUUUGUUUUUCUUUAAUAUCUACAGCACUUUUAUCUUGUACAGUACAAAUGUGAUGCUACUGCAUUGUGACAAUGAACACU
RNAcentral lists this small RNA (1133 nucleotides) under Histoplasma capsulatum. Its description in RNAcentral is "hypothetical RNA". Lineage: Eukaryota; Fungi; Ascomycota; Eurotiomycetes; Onygenales; Ajellomycetaceae. The record is from RNAcentral. RNAcentral also lists the same sequence under 1 other name.